CGGAUCCGGACUCGUUCUGGUAACGCUCGAUCACCUGGAAUGAGAAGUGGAGGUUACUCAUGUGAAGUGCUGGAACAAAACUAUUUGCUAUCGGUAAUUGGUGAAGUUGGUGACACGAUAUGACGAUUUCUCAUUAACAUCUAUUGGCGAUGACAUCUGUGGAGGAGAUUUGCUGUACACUGAUUAAUACAACAGUCCCGUUCAUGGUAGAUUCAGCGAAGCACUGCUCUUGUUAGGACUAGUGUUAGCAAAUUUUCUCAGGUUGAACCCGUGAGCUCACCUACCAGUCAGGGCGUAGUUGGAAUAUCCUCUUAGGCUACCAGCGAACAGGUAGGGGAAAAAACAGUCCAGUUUGUGCCAAUAUGCAAAUAUACGUUGCAGUAGGAGUACCAACCACCCUUGCUACUUACAUCUGAAGCCUCAAGGAGGAGCUACCCGUGAAUAGCCCUGCCUAUCUACGACAGUUAAAAAAUAAUAGCCUAACAACAAAAGGGCUAUUUAUACCUUAAACGUGAGCGUCGUGCAAGUCCAAAUAGAGAAUCCAAAUUAACAUAUUACGUUUAUCGCUUAAUCGCUGUUCUAAUGAUAAUGAUAAUGCUUCGAAAUGACCUCAACUGAACUCUGAGAUGUUAUCUAGUCUAGAAUGUACUUAAACUGAUAAACAAGCAUUUACCAUCGCACCGCCCGCCACCGGAGUAGAGUUCAACCAUACUACCUGGAGCCACUGCGGUCAUCCACAGUGCGUUUCCAGAGAUCUUUUUUGCCACGUACCAUCCGGCUAUGGAAUGAGCUCCCCUCCAUGGUGUUUCCCGAGCGCUAUGACAUGUCCUUCUUCAAACAAGGCUUGUAGAGAGUAUUAAGCGGUAGGCAGCGGCUUGGCUCUGCCCCUGGCAUUGCUGAAGUCCAUGGGUGACGGUAACCACUCACCAUCAGGUGGGCCGUAUGCUCGUCUGCCUACAUGGGCAAUAAAAAAAAAGCGGUUUUUAAUGGUAAUCGAUUAAUUAAUGUUUAUGGAAAACCUCUCGUUCAACAUUCUCCAGGAAUUUUACUGGUGGUAGGACCUCUUGUGAGCCCACACGGGUAGGUACUACCACCCUGCCUAUUUUAGCCGUAAAGCAGUAAUGCGUUUCGGUUUGAAGGGUGGGGCAGCCGUUGUAACUAUACGGAGACCUUAGAACUCUUAUCUCAAGGUGGGUGGCGCAUUUACGUUGUAGAAGUCUAUUUGUCUAUGGGCUCCAGUAACCACUUAACACCAGGUGUGCUGUGAGCUCGUCCACCCAUCUAAGCAAUAAAUAAAAAUAAUUGUCUGUUAACCACAAAAGAGCUUCCCAUUCUCUCCUUCGAACUUACCACUCUCAAAAGUACUAAGUGUCUUCACAAACUGUACUUAAAAUAAUCAGUUAUUUCGUUUCACGUAAUGACGUUUAUUGAAAGUUCAAAGAAAAUACAAUAAAACCUUUCGUCGUUAAGUAAUAUGUUAUUUAUAUUUCAAUGAAUAAUUAAUUUUACCUACCGUUUCGUAACGAAAUCCGGGUUAGCGUGUUAUGUUUUUAUUCUUAUCGUUCUUGCGAGCUAGCGACGAGAUAACCAACAAUUAAAGAUAUAUGUAAUUAUAGCGGAAAUUUAAAUUAUUAUAUUUUGAAAGAUAACAAAAAAAACUUAAAAAUUGUCUUUUUUUGGCCUUUUAUUCCACAUUAUGUGAGGAAGCUGCAUGUCCUUUCUUUCGAUUAAGGUCAGUCAUACGUCAUCUCUACUCAUACUCAGACCCUAUUCUCGCAUAUCCUCUAUCACACAGUCCAUUUAAGUCCUUUUAAGAAACUCGCGUGUCACAUUAAAAAAAAAAGAGGUUGAUAAAUUUCUCCAUUACUAAUUGAAACAUUGAAUUUUUUCCAUAGCAGUCGAUUACACCGAAUAAAAAAUCAUAAAAAUCAGUAGUGAAAUUAUGAAAAAUUGUGUUGUUUACCUGAUAGUUCUGCUGGUGGUAAAUAAAUAUUUUGGGUGACCAUGAAUUUUUAAGGAAAACUAGACAGGGCAAGAUGGAUGGGUGGCAUAAACCCUUUGCAGAAAAAUUGGCUCCUUAUUAAAGGACAAAUAAAUAUAGCAUUAUUUUGUU
Bombyx mori (domestic silkworm) is the source of this 2113-nucleotide long non-coding RNA. RefSeq lists it as uncharacterized. The record is from RefSeq and is a predicted model, not a curated record. Lineage: Eukaryota; Metazoa; Arthropoda; Insecta; Lepidoptera; Bombycidae. The transcript has 2 exons.